UGAGAUUUGCAAUCCCUUGAAAUCGAAUAAAAUGGGACUCACACUUCUCAUCCAAUCUGCUCCCAAUAUAACAUCAAAUCCACCCAACUCCAAAAGUCUCAUAGGAAAAGAGAAACAUUGGUUCUGAGUGUGCCAUUGAAAUGAAGGACACAUUGUAGAACUUAGUAAUUUCCUUCCAUCAGCUACAAUAACCAUUGACACAGGUGCUUGCACCACUGGAAGUUUUAAAUCUUUGGCCACUUUUACAUCCAAGAAACUGUUAGUGCUCCCACUAUCCACCAAUAUAACUAAUUGUCUAUCCUUAUGUCUCCCCAUCACCUUAAUUGUGUCUACACCUUGACUGCCUUCCAUAGCAUGAACUGAUAGAGUCAUUUCUGGUUGUCCUUCCCCAAUUUCCUCACCUUCUACCACUUCUUGAUACUCUUCCUCCAAUUUUUCCACUCCUUGUUCCUCCAACUGAAUGGCCAUAGCAGUCUUAGAUUUACACUGGUGACCAGGGAAGAACUUUUCCCCACAUCUGUAACAGGGUUUGGACUGUCUACUUGCUGCUGGAGUUGGAAGCAAACCUGGUUUAGAUGAAGGUUGAGGUAAUGAAUUACUACUGAUUGCAGAAGAGGACUUAGCAGUGGUUGCAGAAGGUUUUUGGUUGUGGUUGUUAUCAUUUGGAGGUUUUGGUGGAUAAGAAAGUGGUUGAGAAAUUUUAUAGGAUUGGUUUGAAGAAGAAGAUGCAAAAUUAGGCUUAUAAGCACUAUUAUACCCAGAUCUUGGUAGAGAAAAGGCUUUACUAUUACAUAGCAUCCACUGCUCUUGUAGUCUAGCUGCUUCAAAAGCAUGAGCUAGGGUUGUAGGCCUAACCAUUCUCACCAUUGGCCUAAUUUCAUCCCUCAAUCCUCCAAUGAAUCCAGACAAAAAAUAAGCUUCCCCUAAAUCAGGCAUAAACCUCUCCAUUCUUACCCUAAGAUCCUCAAACCUAUCUUGAUAUUCCCCAACACUACCCUCUUGCCUUAGUCUCAUAAACUCCUCAACUACAUCCUCAAAACCUUGUUCUCCAAAUCUAUUGCAUACUGCUAUCUCAAAUUCUUCCCAAGAUCCACUAAUUUUAGACUUAUUCCAAUUUUGAAACCAAGAGUCAGCUCUUCCUACCAUAUACAAGCUUGCUAUUCCCACCAUCUUAUCUUUAGGAACCCUAAAAACUUCAAAGUACUUGAAACACUUCCUAACCCAAGCCCUUGGCUCACUCCCAUCAAAAGUUACUAAUUCAAUCUUAGGCAAAAUCUUUUUCUGACCCCACUGAUUCCAUAACAAAAUCAGAACUACCCUGAUCUCUAGAAUGAAGAUUCAGAGUUUCCUUUGGAGCUGUUAAAGAAUUCUUACCUGUCACUCCAUUAGAAUUCCUUUCAUCAGAGUUGAUGAUUUCUUUCCCUUUGUCCCCAAAAAACCCUAGCAUUAGG
This 1451-nucleotide unclassified non-coding RNA is filed under the name Hevea brasiliensis (rubber tree). Lineage: Eukaryota; Viridiplantae; Streptophyta; Magnoliopsida; Malpighiales; Euphorbiaceae. The record is from RNAcentral.